Molecule: unclassified non-coding RNA, 240 nt
Filed under: soil metagenome
Description: partial contains 5.8S ribosomal RNA, internal transcribed spacer 2, and large subunit ribosomal RNA
Source: RNAcentral
AACCUAGCACACCUGCGGUGUGUACCUGCGGAGGGAUCAUUAUUGGAUCUUGGUUUUUUACAAGAGGUUGAGAGCUUUACUGUUCUUGCUUCUUCAAACAAACGAUCACAACAACUAGUAUAGCAAUUGAUUUGGUCUCUGUCUGGUGCGGUUUGUGUGUGUGUGUGUGUUGGCUGCUGCCAAAUACUCUGCAACAACCGUGCAUAGCGGAGAAGACACCAAAAGUAUUUGCCUGAUAAG